GCUAUGUGUGUGUGACUCACAGUGCGCCCCCGUUAGUUAAACUGAUGGAGCAACGCCGCGUGAGUGAAGAAGGUUUUCGGAUCGUAAAACUCUGUUGUAAGGGAAGAACAAGUACAGUAGUAACUGGCUGUACCUUGACGGUACCUUAUUAGAAAGCCACGGCUAACUACGUGCCAGCAGCCGCGGUAAUUA
RNAcentral lists this ribosomal RNA (192 nucleotides) under uncultured bacterium. RNAcentral describes it as "partial 16S ribosomal RNA". It matches the Rfam family "Bacterial small subunit ribosomal RNA", at positions 368 to 525 of the family's 1533-position model. The record is from RNAcentral.